Molecule: ribosomal RNA, 497 nt
Filed under: uncultured bacterium
Lineage: Bacteria
Description: partial 16S ribosomal RNA
Rfam family: Bacterial small subunit ribosomal RNA
Source: RNAcentral
GAUGAACGCUGGCGGCGUGCCUAAUACAUGCAAGUCGAGCGAACAGACGAGGAGCUUGCUCCUCUGACGUUAGCGGCGGACGGGUGAGUAACACGUGGAUAACCUACCUAUAAGACUGGGAUAACUUCGGGAAACCGGAGCUAAUACCGGAUAAUAUAUUGAACCGCAUGGUUCAAUAGUGAAAGACGGUUUUGCUGUCACUUAUAGAUGGAUCCGCGCCGCAUUAGCUAGUUGGUAAGGUAACGGCUUACCAAGGCGACGAUGCGUAGCCGACCUGAGAGGGUGAUCGGCCACACUGGAACUGAGACAUGGUCCAGACUCCUACGGGAGGCAGCAGUAGGGAAUCUUCCGCAGUGGGCGAAAGCCUGACGGAGCAACGCCGCGUGAGUGAUGAAGGUCUUCGGAUCGUAAAACUCUGUUAUUAGGGAAGAACAAAUGUGUAAGUAACUAUGCACGUCUUGACGGUACCUAAUCAGAAAGCCACGGCUAACUACGUG